AUUGAACGCUGGCGGCAUGCUUUACACAUGCAAGUCGGACGGCAGCGGGGUAUUUCUUGCACUACUGCCGGCUAGUGUCGAACGGGUGUGUAAUAUAUUUGAACUUACCGAUUUAUGGGUGUUAUCCAAUCGAAAGAUUUCCUCUUACCGCAUACGCUCUGAGGUGGAUAGCUGGUGACCUUCUUGCCUUGCGUUAUUCUUGCGUCCAAUAUAUGAUUAGCUAGUUGUUGGGGUAAUGUCCUACAAAGGCGACGAUCAGUAGAGGGUCUGAGAGGAUGAUCAGCAAAACUGGGAGUGAGACACGGAAAAGACUCCUACGGGAGGCAGCAGUGGGGAAUUGUGGACAAUGGGCGCAAGCCUGAUCCAGCAAUGCCGCGUGUCUGAAGAAGGCCUUAGGGUUGUAAAGGACUUUUGUUAGGGAAGAAAAAGGAGAGGUUAAUACCCGUAUCUGAUGACGGUAACUAAAGAAUAAGCACCGGCUAACUACGUG
Molecule: ribosomal RNA, 490 nt
Filed under: uncultured bacterium
Lineage: Bacteria
Description: partial 16S ribosomal RNA
Rfam family: Bacterial small subunit ribosomal RNA
Source: RNAcentral